AUCCAGUUGACGAGUCUCAAACAGGAUGAAACGCGUGUCCUGGAU
RNAcentral lists this non-coding RNA (45 nucleotides) under Schistosoma haematobium. The record is from RNAcentral. Lineage: Eukaryota; Metazoa; Platyhelminthes; Trematoda; Strigeidida; Schistosomatidae.